RNAcentral lists this ribosomal RNA (305 nucleotides) under uncultured bacterium. RNAcentral's name for it is "bacterial SSU rRNA". It matches the Rfam family "Bacterial small subunit ribosomal RNA", at positions 337 to 658 of the family's 1533-position model. The record is from RNAcentral.
CCCUACGGGGGGCAGCAGUCGGAAAUAUUGCGCAAUGGAGGAAACUCUGACGCAGUGACGCCGCGUGCAGGAAGAAGGUUUUCGGGUUGUAAACUGCUUUAGACAGGGAGGAGACAAGACAGUACCUGUAGAAUAAGCUCCGGCUAACUACGUGCCAGCAGCCGCGGUAAUACGUAGGGAGCAAGCGUUAUCCGGAUUUAUUGGGUGUAAAGGGUGCGUAGACGGGAAAACAAGUUGGUUGUGAAAUCCCUCGGCUUAACUGAGGAACUGCAACCAAAACUAUUUUUCUUGAGUGCUGGAGAGGA